Molecule: transfer RNA, 87 nt
Filed under: Gammaproteobacteria bacterium
Lineage: Bacteria; Pseudomonadati; Pseudomonadota; Gammaproteobacteria
Also listed under: 1 other name
Description: tRNA-Leu
Rfam family: tRNA
About the family: Transfer RNA (tRNA) molecules are approximately 80 nucleotides in length. Their secondary structure includes four short double-helical elements and three loops (D, anti-codon, and T loops).
Source: RNAcentral
GCCGGGGUGGCGGAACUGGUAGACGCGCCAGACUCAAAAUCUGGUACAGGAAACUGUGUGGGAGUUCGAUUCUCCCUCCCGGCACCA